This 2904-nucleotide ribosomal RNA is filed under the name Escherichia coli. RNAcentral's name for it is "bacterial LSU rRNA". It matches the Rfam family "Bacterial large subunit ribosomal RNA". Lineage: Bacteria; Pseudomonadati; Pseudomonadota; Gammaproteobacteria; Enterobacterales; Enterobacteriaceae. The record is from RNAcentral.
UUAAGCGACUAAGCGUACACGGUGGAUGCCCUGGCAGUCAGAGGCGAUGAAGGACGUGCUAAUCUGCGAUAAGCGUCGGUAAGGUGAUAUGAACCGUUAUAACCGGCGAUUUCCGAAUGGGGAAACCCAGUGUGAUUCGUCACACUAUCAUUAACUGAAUCCAUAGGUUAAUGAGGCGAACCGGGGGAACUGAAACAUCUAAGUACCCCGAGGAAAAGAAAUCAACCGAGAUUCCCCCAGUAGCGGCGAGCGAACGGGGAGCAGCCCAGAGCCUGAAUCAGUAUGUGUGUUAGUGGAAGCGUCUGGAAAGGCGCGCGAUACAGGGUGACAGCCCCGUACACAAAAAUGCACAUGCUGUGAGCUCGAUGAGUAGGGCGGGACACGUGGUAUCCUGUCUGAAUAUGGGGGGACCAUCCUCCAAGGCUAAAUACUCCUGACUGACCGAUAGUGAACCAGUACCGUGAGGGAAAGGCGAAAAGAACCCCGGCGAGGGGAGUGAAAAAGAACCUGAAACCGUGUACGUACAAGCAGUGGGAGCACAGAGCAAUCUGUGUGACUGCGUACCUUUUGUAUAAUGGGUCAGCGACUUAUAUUCUGUAGCAAGGUUAACCGAAUAGGGGAGCCGAAGGGAAACCGAGUCUUAACUGGGCGUUAAGUUGCAGGGUAUAGACCCGAAACCCGGUGAUCUAGCCAUGGGCAGGUUGAAGGUUGGGUAACACUAACUGGAGGACCGAACCGACUAAUGUUGAAAAAUUAGCGGAUGACUUGUGGCUGGGGGUGAAAGGCCAAUCAAACCGGGAGAUAGCUGGUUCUCCCCGAAAGCUAUUUAGGUAGCGCCUCGUGAAUUCAUCUCCGGAGGUAGAGCACUGUUUCGGCAAGGGGGUCAUCCCGACUUACCAACCCGAUGCAAACUGCGAAUACCGGAGAAUGUUAUCACGGGAGACACACGGCGGGUGCUAACGUCCGUCGUGAAGAGGGAAACAACCCAGACCGCCAGCUAAGGUCCCAAAGUCAUGGUUAAGUGGGAAACGAUGUGGGAAGGCCCAGACAGCCAGGAUGUUGGCUUAGAAGCAGCCAUCAUUUAAAGAAAGCGUAAUAGCUCACUGGUCGAGUCGGCCUGCGCGGAAGAUGUAACGGGGCUAAACCAUGCACCGAAGCUGCGGCAGCGACGCUUAUGCGUUGUUGGGUAGGGGAGCGUUCUGUAAGCCUGCGAAGGUGUGCUGUGAGGCAUGCUGGAGGUAUCAGAAGUGCGAAUGCUGACAUAAGUAACGAUAAAGCGGGUGAAAAGCCCGCUCGCCGGAAGACCAAGGGUUCCUGUCCAACGUUAAUCGGGGCAGGGUGAGUCGACCCCUAAGGCGAGGCCGAAAGGCGUAGUCGAUGGGAAACAGGUUAAUAUUCCUGUACUUGGUGUUACUGCGAAGGGGGGACGGAGAAGGCUAUGUUGGCCGGGCGACGGUUGUCCCGGUUUAAGCGUGUAGGCUGGUUUUCCAGGCAAAUCCGGAAAAUCAAGGCUGAGGCGUGAUGACGAGGCACUACGGUGCUGAAGCAACAAAUGCCCUGCUUCCAGGAAAAGCCUCUAAGCAUCAGGUAACAUCAAAUCGUACCCCAAACCGACACAGGUGGUCAGGUAGAGAAUACCAAGGCGCUUGAGAGAACUCGGGUGAAGGAACUAGGCAAAAUGGUGCCGUAACUUCGGGAGAAGGCACGCUGAUAUGUAGGUGAAGUCCCUCGCGGAUGGAGCUGAAAUCAGUCGAAGAUACCAGCUGGCUGCAACUGUUUAUUAAAAACACAGCACUGUGCAAACACGAAAGUGGACGUAUACGGUGUGACGCCUGCCCGGUGCCGGAAGGUUAAUUGAUGGGGUUAGCGCAAGCGAAGCUCUUGAUCGAAGCCCCGGUAAACGGCGGCCGUAACUAUAACGGUCCUAAGGUAGCGAAAUUCCUUGUCGGGUAAGUUCCGACCUGCACGAAUGGCGUAAUGAUGGCCAGGCUGUCUCCACCCGAGACUCAGUGAAAUUGAACUCGCUGUGAAGAUGCAGUGUACCCGCGGCAAGACGGAAAGACCCCGUGAACCUUUACUAUAGCUUGACACUGAACAUUGAGCCUUGAUGUGUAGGAUAGGUGGGAGGCUUUGAAGUGUGGACGCCAGUCUGCAUGGAGCCGACCUUGAAAUACCACCCUUUAAUGUUUGAUGUUCUAACGUUGACCCGUAAUCCGGGUUGCGGACAGUGUCUGGUGGGUAGUUUGACUGGGGCGGUCUCCUCCUAAAGAGUAACGGAGGAGCACGAAGGUUGGCUAAUCCUGGUCGGACAUCAGGAGGUUAGUGCAAUGGCAUAAGCCAGCUUGACUGCGAGCGUGACGGCGCGAGCAGGUGCGAAAGCAGGUCAUAGUGAUCCGGUGGUUCUGAAUGGAAGGGCCAUCGCUCAACGGAUAAAAGGUACUCCGGGGAUAACAGGCUGAUACCGCCCAAGAGUUCAUAUCGACGGCGGUGUUUGGCACCUCGAUGUCGGCUCAUCACAUCCUGGGGCUGAAGUAGGUCCCAAGGGUAUGGCUGUUCGCCAUUUAAAGUGGUACGCGAGCUGGGUUUAGAACGUCGUGAGACAGUUCGGUCCCUAUCUGCCGUGGGCGCUGGAGAACUGAGGGGGGCUGCUCCUAGUACGAGAGGACCGGAGUGGACGCAUCACUGGUGUUCGGGUUGUCAUGCCAAUGGCACUGCCCGGUAGCUAAAUGCGGAAGAGAUAAGUGCUGAAAGCAUCUAAGCACGAAACUUGCCCCGAGAUGAGUUCUCCCUGACUCCUUGAGAGUCCUGAAGGAACGUUGAAGACGACGACGUUGAUAGGCCGGGUGUGUAAGCGCAGCGAUGCGUUGAGCUAACCGGUACUAAUGAACCGUGAGGCUUAACCUU